CACAUGGACGCAAGUCUGAUGGAGCAACGCCGCGUGAGUGAAGAAGGGUUUCGGCUCGUAAAGCUCUGUUGUUAAAGAAGAACGUGGGUAAGAGUAACUGUUUACCCAGUGACGGUAUUUAACCAGAAAGCCACGGCUAACUACGUGCCAGCAGCCGCGGUAAUACGUAGGUGGCAAGCGUUAUCCGGAUUUAUUGGGCGUAAAGCGAGCGCAGGCGGUCUUUUAAGUCUAAUGUGAAAGCCUUCGGCUCAACCGAAGAAGUGCAUUGGAAACUGGGAGACUUGAGUGCAGAAGAGGACAGUGGAACUCCAUGUGUAGCGGUGAAAUGCGUAGAUAUAUGGAAGAACACCAGUGGCGAAGGCGGCUGUCUGGUCUGCAACUGACGCUGAGGCUCGAAAGCAUGGGUAGCGAACAGGAUUAGAUACCCUGGUAGUCCAUGCCGUAAACGAUGAUUACUAAGUGUUGGAGGGUUUCCGCCCUUCAGUGCUGCAGCUAACGCAUUAAGUAAUCCGCCUGGGGAGUACGACCGCAAGGUUGAAACUCAAAAGAAUUGACGGGGGCCCGCACAAGCGGUGGAGCAUGUGGUUUAAUUCGAAGCUACGCGAAGAACCUUACCAGGUCUUGACAUCUUCUGACAGUCUAAGAGAUUAGAGGUUCCCUUCGGGGACAGAAUGACAGGUGGUGCAUGGUUGUCGUCAGCUCGUGUCGUGAGAUGUUGGGUUAAGUCCCGCAACGAGCGCAACCCUUAUUACUAGUUGCCAGCAUUAAGUUGGGCACUCUAGUGAGACUGCCGGUGACAAACCGGAGGAAGGUGGGGACGACGUCAAAUCAUCAUGCCCCUUAUGACCUGGGCUACACACGUGCUACAAUGGAUGGUACAACGAGUCGCGAGACCGCGAGGUUAAGCUAAUCUCUUAAAACCAUUCUCAAUUCCGACUGUAGGCUGC
RNAcentral lists this ribosomal RNA (947 nucleotides) under Pediococcus pentosaceus. Its description in RNAcentral is "bacterial SSU rRNA". It matches the Rfam family "Bacterial small subunit ribosomal RNA", at positions 367 to 1308 of the family's 1533-position model. The record is from RNAcentral. Lineage: Bacteria; Bacillati; Bacillota; Bacilli; Lactobacillales; Lactobacillaceae.